AGAACGAACGCUGGCGGCAGGCCUCAAACAUGCAAGUCUAGGGGGCGUAGCAAUACGUCACCGGCGGACGGGUGCGUAACACGUGGGAAUGUACUUACUGGUUCGGAACAACUCAGGGAAACUUGAGCUAAUACCGAAUAUGCCCGAAAGGGGAAAGAUUUAUCGCCAGUAAAUCAGCCCGCGUCCGAUUAGCUAGUUGGCGGGGUAAAGGCCCACCAAGGCGACGAUCGGUAGCUGUUCUGAGAGGAAGAUCAGCCACACUGGGACUGAGACACGGCCCCAGACUCCUACGGGAGGCAGCAGUUGGGAAUCUUGGACAAUGGGGGAAACCCUGAUCCAGCCAUGCCGCGUGAGUGAUGAAGGCCUUCGGGUUGUAAAACUCUUUCGACGGGGACGAUAAUGACGGUACCGUAGAAGAAGCUCCGGCUAACUUCGUGCCAGCAGCCGC
Molecule: ribosomal RNA, 448 nt
Filed under: uncultured bacterium
Lineage: Bacteria
Description: SSU rRNA
Rfam family: Bacterial small subunit ribosomal RNA
Source: RNAcentral